AUUGAACGCUGGCGGCAUGCCUUACACAUGCAAGUCGAACGGCAGCGCGGGGCAACCUGGCGGCGAGUGGCGAACGGGUGAGUAAUAUAUCGGAACGUACCCUGGAGUGGGGGAUAACGUAGCGAAAGUUACGCUAAUACCGCAUACGAUCUAAGGAUGAAAGUGGGGGAUCGCAAGACCUCAUGCUCCUGGAGCGGCCGAUAUCUGAUUAGCUAGUUGGUAGGGUAAAAGCCUACCAAGGCAUCGAUCAGUAGCUGGUCUGAGAGGACGACCAGCCACACUGGAACUGAGACACGGUCCAGACUCCUACGGGAGGCAGCAGUGGGGAAUUUUGGACAAUGGGCGCAAGCCUGAUCCAGCAAUGCCGCGUGAGUGAAGAAGGCCUUCGGGUUGUAAAGCUCUUUUGUCAGGGAAGAAACGGGUCUUUCUAAUACAGAGAUCUAAUGACGGUACCUGAAGAAUAAGCACCGGCUAACUACGUGCCAGCAGCCGCGGUAAUACGUAGGGUGCAAGCGUUAAUCGGAAUUACUGGGCGUAAAGCGUGCGCAGGCGGUUUUGUAAGACUGUCGUGAAAUCCCCGGGCUCAACCUGGGAAUGGCGAUGGUGACUGCAAGGCUAGAGUUUGGCAGAGGGGGGUAGAAUUCCACGUGUAGCAGUGAAAUGCGUAGAUAUGUGGAGGAACACCGAUGGCGAAGGCAGCCCCCUGGGUCAAAACUGACGCUCAUGCACGAAAGCGUGGGGAGCAAACAGGAUUAGAUACCCUGGUAGUCCACGCCCUAAACGAUGUCUACUAGUUGUCGGGUUUUAAUUAACUUGGUAACGCAGCUAACGCGUGAAGUAGACCGCCUGGGGAGUACGGUCGCAAGAUUAAAACUCAAAGGAAUUGACGGGGACCCGCACAAGCGGUGGAUGAUGUGGAUUAAUUCGAUGCAACGCGAAAAACCUUACCUACCCUUGACAUGGCAGAAAUCCCGGAGAGAUUUGGGAGUGCUCGAAAGAGAAUCUGCACACAGGUGCUGCAUGGCUGUCGUCAGCUCGUGUCGUGAGAUGUUGGGUUAAGUCCCGCAACGAGCGCAACCCUUGUCAUUAGUUGCUACGAAAGAGCACUCUAAUGAGACUGCCGGUGACAAACCGGAGGAAGGUGGGGAUGACGUCAAGUCCUCAUGGCCCUUAUGGGUAGGGCUUCACACGUCAUACAAUGGUACAUACAGAGGGCCGCCAACCCGCGAGGGGGAGCUAAUCCCAGAAAGUGUAUCGUAGUCCGGAUUGUAGUCUGCAACUCGACUGCAUGAAGUUGGAAUCGCUAGUAAUCGCGGAUCAGCAUGUCGCGGUGAAUACGUUCCCGGGUCUUGUACACACCGCCCGUCACACCAUGGGAGCGGGUUUUACCAGAAGUAGGUAGCUUAACCGCAAGGAGGGCGCUUACCACGGUAGGAUUCGUGACUGGGGUGAAGUCGUAACAAGGUAGCCGUAUCGGAAGG
RNAcentral lists this ribosomal RNA (1481 nucleotides) under uncultured bacterium. RNAcentral describes it as "bacterial SSU rRNA". It matches the Rfam family "Bacterial small subunit ribosomal RNA". The record is from RNAcentral.